GGCUCAGAACGAACGCGGGCGGCGUGCCUAACACAUGCAAGUCGAACGUGAUUAGAGAGCUUGCUCUCUAUGAAAGUGGCGCACGGGUGAGUAACGCGUAGAUAAUCUGCCUGGUGAUCCGGGAUAACACUUCGAAAGGGGUGCUAAUACCUGAUAAGCCCACGGGGUCUUUGGACUCUGCGGGAAAAGGGGGGGACCUUCGGGCCUUCUGUCACCAGAUGAGUCUGCGUACCAUUAGCUAGUUGGUAGGGUAAAGGCCUACCAAGGCGACGAUGGUUAGCUGGUCUGAGAGGAUGAUCAGCCACACUGGAACUGAGACACGGUCCAGACUCCUACGGGAGGCAGCAGUGGGGAAUUUUGCGCAAUGGGGGAAACCCUGACGCAGCAACGCCGCGUGAGUGAUGAAGGCCCUUGGGUCGUAAAGCUCUGACAGAGGGAAAGAAAUGUGGGUGGCUAAUAUCCAUACCACUUGACGGUACCCUCAAAGGAAGCACCGGCUAACUCCGUGCCAGCAGCCGCGGUAAUACGGGGGGUGCAAGCGUUGUUCGGAUUUAUUGGGCGUAAAGCGCGUGUAGGCGGUUUUGUAAGUCUGAUGUGAAAGCCCCGGGCUCAACCUGGGAAGUGCAUUGGAUACUGUAAGACUUGAAUACGGGAGAGGGCAGUGGAAUUCCUGGUGUAGGAGUGAAAUCCGUAGAUAUCAGGAGGAACACCGGUGGCGAAGGCGGCUGCCUGGACCGAUAUUGACGCUGAGACGCGAAAGCGUGGGUAGCAAACAGGAUUAGAUACCCUGGUAGUCCACGCCGUAAACGAUGAGAACUAGGUGUUGCGGGUAUUGACCCCUGCAGUGCCGCAGCUAACGCAUUAAGUUCUCCGCCUGGGAAGUACGGUCGCAAGACUAAAACU
RNAcentral lists this ribosomal RNA (903 nucleotides) under uncultured bacterium. Its description in RNAcentral is "bacterial SSU rRNA". It matches the Rfam family "Bacterial small subunit ribosomal RNA", at positions 21 to 901 of the family's 1533-position model. The record is from RNAcentral.